AUUGUUCAUAUGUGUGUAGAUAUAAGUCCAUAUAUCUAGAUAUAAAUCCAUAUAUCUUACGGGACCUUCGAAACAAAGCUUGAUACACCAACAAAGUCGUUCAACUAGCAAAUAGAAUCCGACAACAAAUACUGAAAAAUACGAGCAAGACCGGCAGAACCCCGACUAGAAAAGCUCGACGCAAGAUGCCAAAUUCUGAAACGGAACCGUGAACUACGAAUGGAAUUAAUGAACGGACGACCUCGGCGACCCGAACUCGCACCAGCCACUGACCUGAAUCUCAAACUCAGUUUCCCAUUUUCCUACUCUGUUUUUCUAGCUACUGUGCGGGUGUGUGCUGUUCAUGGUGUGAGAGUGAUGGAGGGAUCAGUAGCUGCACGUUUUUGGGAUAGUGAGAGGCGUUUCUGGAGGAAGGAAAUCGGCCGCAUCUGCUGCGUUUUUACUGCCUGAAGAAACAGCGUUUUGCUAUCUUUUGGACUGUUUUAUGGCUGAAAUUUGAUGCAAGAGUGAUGUUGUUUCGCUGGUGUUAGUGGCUGGAUUUUGGACCUGUUUUGAAGUGAUUUAAGGUGGAAGAAAAGGGGCUGGUUUUAUGGUGAUUUCAUGGAGUUUCAAGGUGGAUUUUUGGACUAACUAUGGAAGCUCCUCUGGUUCUCUCUCUAUUCCCCAGAUCCUUUCCUCUGUCCGUUUCCCUUUUCUGUGUGAGUUUUUUAUAUGUAUUUGUGAGUGUGUAUGCCUUUGUGGGUGGUCACGUGAGAGUUGAGUGACAUAAAAUUAAAAUAAUAAUAAGAAGAAGAAACGUGCUAGUGUGUGGACUGUGGAGUGAUUGUGAGGCAUCUGACAAAGUUUGUUAUAAAGAAUCUUUGGCAUGUGCUGUUCUU
This 878-nucleotide long non-coding RNA is filed under the name Nicotiana benthamiana. Its description in RNAcentral is "long non-coding RNA (NBEN_LNC010364)". The record is from RNAcentral. Lineage: Eukaryota; Viridiplantae; Streptophyta; Magnoliopsida; Solanales; Solanaceae.